GAAUUGGAAAACACUUUAUUUACCAUAACAUAGGUACCAAGUGCUCAGCAUUUCCUGGAGUGUGUCAAACACUAGCCUAGUGUCUGCUUACAUGUGUAAAUCUGGGUGAAGAGCUGGAGUUUCUCAUCUCUGUCCCCUUACAGUGUUCGUCUUGAGUCUGAAUGAGAACCGUCCCGCACUUCCACCCCCAUCCCCAAGCAGGCGCUGCAACUGUGCUCCUAUCUGGUCCCAGGACCCUGCUCCAUCAGGCCAAAGAGCAACAGGGUCAUUGCUCAGAGGGGCUGGAGGGUAAUGGGGGCCUGUGGGCUGCACAGGGAUGAGGACAGCACUGAAGAAGACACAGGUCUCGCUGCGUGCUAAG
RNAcentral lists this long non-coding RNA (361 nucleotides) under Bos taurus (domestic cattle). Its description in RNAcentral is "long non-coding RNA NONBTAT017646". The record is from RNAcentral. Lineage: Eukaryota; Metazoa; Chordata; Mammalia; Artiodactyla; Bovidae.